UCGGCGUAGCGGCGCCGUGGUAAUGCAGCCGGAGGCCGUCGGCUCCUGGCGGCUCACCCCUUCACUGGAGGAUGGAGACCUGACGGAACGACCAAGGUUGGUGAUUCUCCCGUCUACAGCGAGGGCGAAGCAGCCAUGCUCCAAGCCAACCAAUCCCGGUAGAAUCAAUGGUGUGCAGGAAGCAAUGAAAAGAAAAUUAGGUAAUACUAGUAGCACA
Molecule: long non-coding RNA, 217 nt
Filed under: Hordeum vulgare
Lineage: Eukaryota; Viridiplantae; Streptophyta; Magnoliopsida; Poales; Poaceae
Description: long non-coding RNA (HVUL_LNC008802)
Source: RNAcentral